UAGUGGCGAACGGGUGAGUAACACGUGGGCAAUCUGCCCUUCACUCUGGGACAAGCCCUGGAAACGGGGUCUAAUACCGGAUAACACUCCUGCCUGCAUGGGUGGGGGUUAAAAGCUCCGGCGGUGAAGGAUGAGCCCGCGGCCUAUCAGCUUGUUGGUGAGGUAGUGGCUCACCAAGGCGACGACGGGUAGCCGGCCUGAGAGGGCGACCGGCCACACUGGGACUGAGACACGGCCCAGACUCCUACGGGAGGCAGCAGUGGGGAAUAUUGCACAAUGGGCGAAAGCCUGAUGCAGCGACGCCGCGUGAGGGAUGACGGCCUUCGGGUUGUAAACCUCUUUCAGCAGGGAAGAAGCGAAAGUGACGGUACCUGCAGAAGAAGCGCCGGCUAACUACGUGCCAGCAGCCGCGGUAAUACGUAGGGCGCAAGCGUUGUCCGGAAUUAUUGGGCGUAAAGAGCUCGUAGGCGGCUUGUCACGUCGGUUGUGAAAG
RNAcentral lists this ribosomal RNA (493 nucleotides) under Streptomyces sp. 306B04. RNAcentral's name for it is "bacterial SSU rRNA". It matches the Rfam family "Bacterial small subunit ribosomal RNA", at positions 93 to 600 of the family's 1533-position model. The record is from RNAcentral. Lineage: Bacteria; Bacillati; Actinomycetota; Actinomycetes; Kitasatosporales; Streptomycetaceae.